UACGGAGGGGGCUAGCGUUGUUCGGAAUUACUGGGCGUAAAGCGCGCGUAGGCGGACUUUUAAGUCGGGGGUGAAAUCCCGGGGCUCAACCCCGGAACUGCCUUCGAUACUGGAAGUCUGGAGUUCGAGAGAGGUGAGUGGAAUUCCGAGUGUAGAGGUGAAAUUCGUAGAUAUUCGGAGGAACACCAGUGGCGAAGGCGGCUCACUGGCUCGAUACUGACGCUGAGGUGCGAAAGCCAGGGGAGCAAACGGG
This 253-nucleotide ribosomal RNA is filed under the name uncultured prokaryote. Its description in RNAcentral is "partial 16S ribosomal RNA". It matches the Rfam family "Bacterial small subunit ribosomal RNA", at positions 524 to 776 of the family's 1533-position model. The record is from RNAcentral.